GUGCCUACGGGGGGCAGCAGUAGGGAAUCUUCCACAAUGGGCGAAAGCCUGAUGGAGCAACGCCGCGUGGGUGAAGAAGGUCUUCGGAUCGUAAAACCCUGUUGUUAGAGAGGAAAGUGCGUGAGAGUAACUGUUCACGUCUCGACGGUAUCUAACCGGAAAGCCACGGCUAACUACGUGCCAGCAGCCGCGGUAAUACGUAGGUUGCAAGCGUUAUCCGGAUUUAUUGGGCGUAAAGGGAACGCAGGCGAUCUUUUAAGUCUGAUGUGAACGCCAUCGGCUUAACCGGAGUAGUGCAUUGGAAA
RNAcentral lists this ribosomal RNA (305 nucleotides) under uncultured bacterium. RNAcentral's name for it is "bacterial SSU rRNA". It matches the Rfam family "Bacterial small subunit ribosomal RNA", at positions 335 to 632 of the family's 1533-position model. The record is from RNAcentral.